UACGGAGGGUGCAAGCGUUAUCCGGAUUUACUGGGUUUAAAGGGUGCGUAGGUGGGUAAGUAAGUCAGUGGUGAAAUCUUCGAGCUUAACUCGGAAACUGCCAUUGAUACUAUUUAUCUUGAAUGCUUUGGAGGUAAGCGGAAUAUGUCAUGUAGCGGUGAAAUGCUUAGAUAUGACAUAGAACACCAAUUGCGAAGGCAGCUUACUACACAGUUAUUGACACUGAGGCACGAAAGCGUGGGGAUCAAACCGG
Molecule: ribosomal RNA, 253 nt
Filed under: uncultured bacterium
Lineage: Bacteria
Description: partial 16S ribosomal RNA
Rfam family: Bacterial small subunit ribosomal RNA
Source: RNAcentral